This is a long non-coding RNA of Myotis daubentonii (Daubenton's bat), 864 nucleotides long. RefSeq lists it as uncharacterized. Lineage: Eukaryota; Metazoa; Chordata; Mammalia; Chiroptera; Vespertilionidae. The record is from RefSeq and is a predicted model, not a curated record.
UGAGGCCAUGGGCACCUGGGAGUGAGUAACAUGUAUGCAAACCUGGUGUAGGAACUUCCUGGGGAAGCUGGACUCGAAGGGAGAUGUCAAGGCAGGGACUCCCAGAGGCCCAGGCGGAGAGAUGGCUGAUUGUGAGUGGGGGAGGCUGUAGGGGUGCCAUGCCCGCCACGCCUACUUCAACAGUCUCUGAAAGGGGCUUGCAAAUGAGGACACGGUGGUUCAGAGAAGCCAGGUUCCUUGUCCAAGGCCACACAGCCCAAGAGCAGGGCUGGAACUCUGAUCUGCUGACCUCGCAGUCUCAGGAAGGCAGGCAGCUGGAGUACACACUCAAGGUUGUAUUUGGAAACUGCCAUCAAUGACACUGAGGCCUGAACUUAGUGGAAAUGGGGGUGCUGCCCUGACUUUUCAUUGAGAUGUACCUCCUUUACUCCAUCAUCCAACCUGGGGGACUUCUGGCUCUGUGGACAGGAUUUGGAGAAGCUUGGAGACGGGGACAGAGUUCUCUGGCGGCCAUGCAACUGAGUGCAAUCACCCUAAAGAGAAGCAUUGAGAAGCCAUAAAACCUAAAUGCCCUGCCAUGCAUCAUUACAUCGCGCAGUUAUUCAAAUUUAGUAAAUUAAAUUAAAUAAACCCAAAUAACUUGAUUUCGGGGCUUUAAAAUUCAUCUCUAUGGUGCCCAGUAGUCAAUUUCCUUUAUUAUUAUUGUUCAUCAAGUAGAAUUUAUGUUUUUUAUGAAUCAAAGUCCUUGCCUGCCUCGCUGGCAGAAGCUGCUCCCGGCUCCGUAGGCUGAGUGGGGGGCUUGGUGCGCCAUCUACCGGCGGGUUCGGGCACAGCCGCCGGGGGGCCUUCUGGACGCAAGCCCUG